CCUGGCUCAGAUUGAACGCUGGCGGCAGGCCUAACACAUGCAAGUCGAGCGGUAGAGAGAAGCUUGCUUCUCUUGAGAGCGGCGGACGGGUGAGUAAUGCCUAGGAAUCUGCCUGGUAGUGGGGGAUAACGUUCGGAAACGGACGCUAAUACCGCAUACGUCCUACGGGAGAAAGCAGGGGACCUUCGGGCCUUGCGCUAUCAGAUGAGCCUAGGUCGGAUUAGCUAGUUGGUGGGGUAAUGGCUCACCAAGGCGACGAUCCGUAACUGGUCUGAGAGGAUGAUCAGUCACACUGGAACUGAGACACGGUCCAGACUCCUACGGGAGGCAGCAGUGGGGAAUAUUGGACAAUGGGCGAAAGCCUGAUCCAGCCAUGCCGCGUGUGUGAAGAAGGUCUUCGGAUUGUAAAGCACUUUAAGUUGGGAGGAAGGGUUGUAGAUUAAUACUCUGCAAUUUUGACGUUACCGACAGAAUAAGCACCGGCUAACUCUGUGCCAGCAG
Molecule: ribosomal RNA, 501 nt
Filed under: Pseudomonas azotoformans
Lineage: Bacteria; Pseudomonadati; Pseudomonadota; Gammaproteobacteria; Pseudomonadales; Pseudomonadaceae
Description: bacterial SSU rRNA
Rfam family: Bacterial small subunit ribosomal RNA
Source: RNAcentral